RNAcentral lists this long non-coding RNA (10047 nucleotides) under Erythranthe guttata (spotted monkey flower). The record is from RNAcentral. Lineage: Eukaryota; Viridiplantae; Streptophyta; Magnoliopsida; Lamiales; Phrymaceae.
ACCUCGAAGGUUUGUGGGAUGAAGGCCAGUGAGCCGUCGUCUCCGCCGAGGAGGACAUCGGCGGCCAAGGCGCUGCUGGCGAGGAUUGCGGUGGCGGCGGUGGCGGCGACGGCCACGCCGAAGUCCUUCAACGAGGCCUUGACGGAGAGCUUGGGGAUGGCGGCGGAGGUGGUGACGACGCGGGCGGUGGUGGGCUUGGAGGAUGAGGUGGCGCCGGACUUAAGUCCGGUGAACGAGGGAAUGGUGACGGCGGCGGAGGUGAUGGUGGCCAUUGUUUUGAAGGAUUGUGUGGUGGUGGUGGUGUUGCCGGUGAAGUAUUGGUGGAAAUCAAGAAAUGGAAGAGGGAGGAAGUUGGAAUUUAAUACAUGUGAUGGAGUAUUGUGUGUGGUGUGUGUUUUGUGGAGGAGUGAUUGGAUAGAUAAGGUGUGGAUUGUUAUCCACUAGGAUUGAUCUGAUUGGCUUAGCUGGAUACUAUCAUCUGACGUGGAAUUGGAUAUUUAGUAUGCGAUGUUGUACGAAACAGGGGAUGGAUUUUUUGUGGAACUGGGAAAAUUUGAGGUGGCUCUAAUUUGCAUUUGUUUUUUAUAAUGAAUAUAAUAAACAAAUGACAGCGGAGUUAAUAAAAGGAGAACAUAAAUUCGGCUUAGGGUGUAAUAAUCAGAUUUUGCUUCCAUUUCUUAUUUGAUUAUAAAAAAAUAGGCACAAUAAACAAAAGAACAAUUAGCAACAAAAGAAACUUACGAUCGUCACGGCUUGAAAUACCGAAAACAGAGUGCGAAAUACCGAAAACAGAGUGCGAGAGUCGGAAUGAGGUGAACAAGAAACUGAAGAGAAAAAAAGAUGUAAGGAUUUAUAAGAGAUUUGGAAGUACAUAUAUCAGCCAUUAGUAUAAGUGUAGUACAACAGAAAUGCACCAUUUGCCACAAAGGUAGUACUUACUGUACUACAAAUUCUUACCAGUACAACAACGCAAUAUUUUCUGUUUCGAACAUCAAACGAACAUUAAACUGUCAUAAUAAUAAAAUCCAAAGGCAUGAGUAAGUAGUUCAAAUCGAUAAAUUCUUUCUGAAAAUAAAAAUCAAUUUCCAAAUCCACUUAUUAACAAAAUAAUAUAUUUUGAGCUCUAAGGAUAGCUUGCUUCAAUGGCAACAAUAUAUCGAAUUUCUAUGCACAGUUUUCCCCCAGACUAACAGCACUUGCAUUAUUAGGCCUCUCUAUUAGCAAAUGAGUUCUCAGGAAUCACGUAAUUACCACACAAUCAGAAACGAGAGUGAUAUAUGUGUACAAUAAUUCGUUAAAUAUUAACAUCGGGAACUAUUUAGUUCCCUGAUCGUCACAAUAGAAACCUUCGUAUUUACAUGUACUAAAAUUAAAAUACAGUCGCAUGUAUAAGAGCAAUAGAAUGUACAGACAGCAAUAUAUACAAAACCAAUUUCUCUUACAUAUUACAAUCCCAACAACAUUUGUGAAAUGCUCACAAGAGUGGGAAAAUAUCAUCAUUCGUAGUGUCAUCACCCAAGUCAAAAAACUUGAAGCCCAUUUGAUCAUUCGGGUUCGGGUCGAAACUUGGAUCCACAUAGCAUUUCAUCUCGUGGAACAGAUUCAAAUUGUCCACCAGCUUAUGGAAUACAUUACACCCACAACACUAUUAUACCCAAAACAAAAAAAACAAAAAAAAAAAAACCAUAAGAACAAGUAUUUUUUUAUUUUUUAUUUUUAUUUUUUAUUUUAUAGGAGAACAUAAGAACAAGUGUAUAAACACUACUAUACUAUGUGUUCUUAAUUGAUAAUGCCAAAGUUGCCUAUAGUUUCUUGAAAGCUUUCAAUACAAAAUUAAGACAAUUUCAUUUAUUUCCUUGAAUGGUUUUAGAAUAAUAUUAAAUAUUAAAAAAAAAACAUCAGAAAUACUUUGCUAUUGCCUGUGUGUACCUGGACAAAGACGGUGCCGUCAGUGUAGGCAUGUGGAUUGAUGGCACGUGUGGUGCGCUGGCCACAUACGUUGCACGUGAAGGCCACGCGCAUUCUGCGUCUGGGGGAUUUGGUGAAGAGCGACCACGGGAAAGUGGACACCCGAUCCAUACCUGAAUUAGGGUCGGAUCCCGCGGGCAUGGAUGGGCCUUCCAUACCCGACCCGGUUGUCCAUCCCCUCACGUUGGCUGCACUCAGAACCAGCCCCAUCGCUGCAUCCUGCAAAACGAACAACUCAACGAAAUCUCAAUUUGCACGCAGCUAAUUUAACCUAAAAGUUUCAAUCUCAAUUUUCACACAGCUAAUUUAACCUAAAAGUUUCAAUGUCAAUUUAGGAUAAUUGGUAAAACAGAAAUAAUAAUUGCCUGGGAAAUGAAGCGAUUUCUGUUGAUGGGGACGAGCGAGGAUUCGGAAGAAUCGGGCUUGAAAUCGGGUUCGCCGCCACUGUUACUACGAUUGGCAUCAUCUGUAAAAUAGAGAAGAAAAAUUGCGUCAGAAAUUGAUCGAUAUAAUGGAAAAGGAUCACGGAGAGAGAAAAAAGGGGAGGGAGAGCUGACUUUUGGGGGAGGUGGAGAAGCGGAGGAGCCGGCGGGAAGAAGGUUCUCUGGAUUUAUUGGGGGAGAAGAUCGGCAGCGAAACGGCGCCGGUAGUGGUGGUAAGGGCUUCCAUUUCCGAUUAAUUUUCUUUUUCCGGGGGUAAAUUCGCAGUAUUGCAUACAGGUGGUGGUUGUGGUUGUAUGUGAUUGAUUGUUGGAGAUAUUUUUUUUCCUAAAGGAAUAAUUUUCAGGCCGAAGAAAUGUGGACUUGGUCAUAUUUUUGUUGGCCCAUAUUUGUUACAAUAUUUGGGCUAGAAAUUGAAUACGGGAGAUAGUUUGGCCCAAUAGGCGCUUGGUCUAUUAUAAUUCAUCCGGCCCUAUGGUUUUUUUUUUUUUUUUUUUUUUUUUUUUUUUUUUUUUUCAAUUAACCGGUACUACAAAAGAAGAAGGGGUGGAAAUUGAAACGGAAUUUUGAAUUCCGUCGAUUCUGACAAGUAUUUUCGUUUUUAGAGAUUUAUAGAUGAGUAAAGCAGGACACUCUGAAAAGAAGAAAGCAGUUUAGGUACAAUCAUCGUCAUCGUCAAUGGGAGUGUCGCCCAAAGCAAACAUGAAGAAUUAAUUUGGUGGUACUCAGAUUAUGAAACUGCGAAUGGCUCAUUAAAUCAGUUAUAGUUUGUUUGAUGGUACCUGCUACUCGGAUAACCGUAGUAAUUCUAGAGCUAAUACGUGCAACAAACCCCGACUUCUGGAAGGGAUGCAUUUAUUAGAUAAAAGGUCGACACGGGCUCUGCCCGUCGUUGCAAUGAUUCAUGAUAACUCGACGGAUCGCACGGCCCUCGUGCCGGCGACGCAUCAUUCGAAUUUCUGCCCUAUCAACUUUCGAUGGUAGGAUAGUGGCCUACUAUGGUGGUGACGGGUGACGGAGAAUUAGGGUUCGAUUCCGGAGAGGGAGCCUGAGAAACGGCUGGAGAGAAGAUCGGGAAUUAGGGAAAUAACCGAUCACAUCAAACGAUGAGAAUCAAUGGACAUUAUCAAAGGUCAAGAUCAUUCUAAGGGUUUGACCGAACCGGUGAGCUUAAGUAGUAUUGGGCUUCGAUCUUGGGUCACCUUAGGUGAAAAUGGUUAAAUGGACCGGAUAUGACUUAAUUCAUUGGGCCAAAAAAUCAAACAAAUAUUAAGAUUAAAAAAAGGGGAAUAUAUUUUGUCUCUAAGGGAGUAUUAAUUGCCAUUAAUACCCCUGGCUCUUUUCCUUUCUCUCGUGUGUUUGGUAGCACGUCAGGGAUUAUAAAUGCACCCAUAGCAUAACACACCACUCUUCUUCCUUCUUAAACGAUUCAUCUCAUUCACCAUUUCUUAUUUGUUAUUCAAAAAUAUUCAAGGGCAAAAAAAAAAAAAAAAAACACAAAAAAGAGAUUAUUAUUGCGCUUUCGGCGUUGGCUGAAAUAGUCGUUAUGGUGUUGGCUCGGCUCACUCAGAGAUUAAAAUCUUUAUAUACUCUACUGCCACGAAAAAAAAAGGCUAAUGGUUAUAUUGUUUUUUUCUGAUUGAGCCGCGCCAAUAUCUUAAUGCCUUCUUCAUUUAUGAUUGUUGUAUUGUGUAUUUCCUAUUACGAAUGCCAAUAAUUCAAUUAUCUCUCGCUCGAGGUUAGAUGUUACACUCUGUUUAUUUUUUUUAUUUUUAUUUUUUUUGUUGACGAAGGAAUUUGCAGUAACAAGUGAGCAAUGAGCAUCGGCUAAUUAACUCCGAAAAUCACACGAAUUGUAAACCACAUUGAACAAAUUAAACCACGUACGAUGAGUUGUUGCAGUAGUCCGUUAUUAUAAACAAAUAUAUAAUUAAUUUCCUAAUUCAAUUCGAUCAGGUGCAGCUCUAAGGGUUUGUAAUUGCAGCUCUAAGGGUUACGAACUCAGUUUCGUUUUCGACUCGAUCGAGUUUUUGCAGGUACUAGGUCAAUGGUAAUUAAUUGCAAUACUAUAUCAUCCAUUUUUAGUGUUAAUUGUAAUUUGUACAGAUUAUUGAACGUUUGUCUUCGUUUUAAAACUAACAUAAUUAAUUCCCUCUUAAAAAUUAUUUCAUCUUUUAUUUUACGAAUAUUUUGUGUUUUAUGAUAAAAGGCAGUGCACAUAAUUUACGAAUACUUUCCAGAAUUUUAUUUUUCCGGAACUUGAACACAAAACAUAUACCGCUAAAGUACAUGAUAGUUCAAAAUUAAAUCCACAACUACGGGAUUAACCGAUUAACUCGAUCGUCUCUCUUUAAUUUUAAUUAGUCAUAGAGCAAAACUUGCAAAGCGAAAACGAUUCCCCUCGGGCUAGGCUGAUAAGACUUGUCCUUGUAUAAAUUUAAAAUCAUUUAAUUUUCUAAUUUGUGGGUGGUGAACAUUUAUUACAGUUACUGAACUAUUUGAUUCCCCAUUUCACCUUUGGAGGAUCUGCUACUUUGUGGAUAGAGAGUAUGGCUGUAAAUUCUUACUCUCAAAAAAGAAAAAAGAAAAGAAAAAAAAGAAGAGUUAGUUGAGGGGAGUAAAUGUGAGAAGUGGGAUUGUUGGGCAGAGUCAUAAAUAUGAAGAGCAAGUUACACUGCAAAUAAUUCAAUUAUGGAGGAAAGAAAAAAAAGAGAAUCUCUGCAACAAAUUGUUUGCCAACACAAGGAGGGAGGGAUGCAUGCCUGCCUGCUUUUAUGUUUUGCUAUCGGACAAAGAUUCCCUUAUUUAUUACUCCUUCUUUAUAUUAAUUAAUUAAAAAAUAAAUAAAUUCUGUAUAGGUAAUGUAUUUGCAAAAUAAAUUUUUAAUUUUCUAUUUAUUUUCGUAAAAUAUAGAAAAUAUACUUAAAUUUGGAUUUAUAGACGAGUAGUAAAGGCCAAAGGGACAAAUAUGUAAUAUACAACUUUAAGCCCCAAAAAUAGUAUAAAUAAAUGAAUGAAGUCUUUUUAUUUGAAGAAUUAAAACACUUUGAAUUAUUGCAUCCGAUUUAAAAUCAAAUGAAGAUCUUUCUUUGCAUAAUCACUAAUUAUAGUGGAAAUUAAAAGGGGGAAAAAUAGAGUUCGAAUCUAUGUAGCGUGGACACAGAAACGACGACACGGAGAAAACACGGAUGAGUCUCCAACACAAUUGAAUAAGGUUCCCGGCCCAAAUUACCGCAAACCAAUUUUUUGGGCUUUGUCAGAUGGGCUCAACAGAUAGUAGGGUUUUUGGGCUGGGCCGAAGGGAGUACACCCAAGUAAUAGUUUUUCUGUCAAAUUUAUUUGUCCACGUGUCUCUCUCCUAUUGCUCCUUCUUUAUUCACUCCCUCCUUUCCAAAGUCGCGUCAUAGAUACAUGCGUUUAUAAGUAGACUGCAACGCCUUCUUCAAAACGACGUGGGUUUGGCAAUGGUAGUUUCUACUGUUACAUAAUCUUACUAUAUUUAGAUAAAAGUAAAAACAAAAUAAGAUUGAGAAUUUUAGAGAGAUCGAAUAAUGUGAAAAUAAGGGUAAAGUUUAGUCAAUGAAUAUUAUAAUUGAGAAUUUCUAGGUCAAUAAUAUUUCGUAUUUCUCCUUGUAUAAUUGAUUAUAGGCCAGUGUAGGAAUUUUAAACUAAUAUUUAUUUAUGUUUUAAAAUCUCUUAUCCAUGUGAUCUCUAUAAUGGAGAUUUUAUUUAUUUAUAUUUUAAUUGAUACUAAAUUAUAUGGUGGAGAGAUGCAAAAGCCAAAUUGGGCCAUCACACCAUCAUAACAUAACCAUGGUCAUCGGCCUCAUCAUUUAUUUCUUGAAACUCAACGUAUACACACACUGCUCUCUCUCUCUCUCUCUCUCUCUCUCUCUCACACACACACACACAUACUUGAUUCUCAAAACAUUCAAAAUACAAAACUACAUGUGCCAUCAUUGUCCAUCUUCUCCACCACUCUUUACUCACGUGACUUGGGCGAUAGGCUCUCAAUCAUUUUAAUAACAAUUAUAUAUCAGUAAAAUAUAAUGACUUUUAGUACGUUAUAGUAAAAAAGUCAGCAUGCAGUCACCACAUAUAUAUUUAAUUAUUAAAUGAUCAGUAAGCUCAUGAAUUAAUUAGUACUAUAUAUAGGCCAGGUAGUAGGAAUAAUGUAUUAGUGUUUAAUCAGAAAUGAGUAACAUUUAUUCCUACUAAGCCCUAAUUAAGUACUUUAAUUUGAAAUGAAAACCAAUUGAUGCAUGGUUAAUAAUUAAUUAAUUAAUGAUAUAUCUGUGUGUUAGUUGUGGAAAUAAAGCAAAUAAGUAAAGAGUAACGACUAGUGCAUGCAAAGGGUGUAGUAGUAGUUGGGCAAUAAAUAGAAGGAGUGCGACACAUGAGAUGAUGGUAAUCAAUACACAACACAAACAGCAAAAUUUACAGACGAAUACUACAUUUACAACUAAGUGUAAUAAAUACAACAGUACGUUGAAUAAUAAUUUAAUUUGUGAGUGUAAGAAUAAGUUUGAAUAUAUAUAUAUAUAUAUAUAUAUAUAUAUAUAUAUAUAUAUAUAUAUAUAUGGUGGGAGGGAGUUAAAUGUAAUUAAUGCUAAAACAACUUAUGAUAAUACAAAAAGGAUAAAAAGAAAAAGAAAGUAAAUAGUCGUCCUAUAAAUGGAGGGAAAAAAAAAAAAACAGUGGGAGUGCAGGGCGUGGGCUUGUGGGUGUGAUGAGUGUGACAUAUCACUUGACAGAAAGGGAGUUUUUUCUUUCAUUGGGUUCUUGGAAAAGGGAUAUUUAAUUAUCUUCUUAAUUAUUGCAUUAUAUAUUUUUCUUCCCUUUAAUUAAUUAUCUUCAUUAUUGUUGUGAAAAGAAAAUGUACAUGACAUGUUAGGGCUUUUUCAAAUUAUGAAGCUUCUAGUCUAGCCCUUGAUUCCUCCAUCACUAAAGUCAACACUUAUUUGAGUAUUUUUUUUCAAAUAGGAAAUCACACAAUUUCAUAGUCGGAAUUGAAAUAGCCUUCCUCCCGUAUACUAUUUCUCUACGUCCCCGACCAACAUAUCGCUUGGCACUCUCUCAUUGUCAAGUACACUCGAGUUUUUUCUGUCAUCAAUUAAUAAAUUAACUAUGUAAUUUAUUUUAUAGUUAAUUUAUUAUUUUUAGAUCUAAUAUAUACACUUUAAUAUUUUAAUCAACUAUAGUCGAUUAAUAAAUAAAUCAGCUACACAAACAACAUAGGCGAUUUACUUUCAGUUUAAUUCAGAAAACAUAAGAAGGGGUUAUCACUAAUUACUUUCAAAUAGUACUGAACCUAUCUCAAUGCAAUUUCCAAAACGGGGGUUUUCCCCACUAAUUAUCCCUUUUAUAAACAUUUCUUGUUUCAUAUUACCCUGUCACGUUAUUAAUAUUGCAUUAAUUAUUUUUCAUAAUAUAUAUUAAUUUUGAUAAUAAUUAUAACCAACUCUUAAACAACGUUUAAUUUUAAAAUGUGAUGGAUACAUCAUUGAUCUCUUUACACUUGGUUCAAAUGUUUUUUUUUUCGGUGAGCAUCGAAAAAAAGAAAAUUUAGGACACAAAAGCCUGAAAUCCCAAAAAAAUGAACAUGGUGAAAUUAUUAAUUUUAGAAAACAAAAAGUAAGGUGGUUUUGAUUGAUAGUAGAAAGUAGAAAGGGAUUAGAAAAGAAGAAGAGAAAGUUAAGUAGUGGCAACAGAAAUCGAUAAUUCUGUAAACUUAGGUCAAAAAUAAAUAAAUAAAUAAGCAACAAGUUUCCUCUUUCGUAGGUCAUCAGCCCAAAACCUAAAGACCUUUUUAAGUCUUUAAUCCCUUUUUAGAGAGAGAGGGAGAGAGAAAUAGAGAGAGGGGCGGUUUGUUGUGUGUUCAUCAGAAACGAGGAUAGAGAAAAAGUCGUCUGUCUAAUAGUGGUGGGGAAGGUGAAGAGAUUAUUAUGAUCAUACUCAUGAUACGAAGGUUUCAUCACAAACGAGGAUAUCCAUCGAUGUCUUUUUUUCUUUUUCUUUUUUUUUUUUUUAAUUUAAGGGGGGGUGGGGUGGGGGGCAAAGAAUAUAAUUACUAUGAGGAUUCUUUGAUUAUAUUUACCUUGAGCAAGUUUAAGUAUAAAAACAUGGCCAAGAAUGAACAUUCCAAUCUGCUUUAUUUAGCACUACCAUUCUCUCUCUCUCUCUCGUGUUGUCCAAAUCUUGAACUAAUUAAACACCACUCCUAUUAAUAAUCAUUCACAGCUUGAAAAACCUGGCCUCUUCUCCUCUUUCUCUUUCUCUUUCUCUUUCUCUCUCUUAUUUACUGUACUGCACACACAUCUCACAUAUUAAAUAGUCCCCACCCUCAUCUGCCCUUCUCUCCCAUAUUCUCUUAUUAUUACAACCUAGUUUCUCUUUCAUGUGUGUGUGUGUGUGUGUGUGUGUUGUAGUUUUUGUUGAAUCUUGUGGUAUAAGGGUCUGAGGGUCGAAGUUGCUGGUGUUUGAUGAAAUGAAUUCAUGGUGGGUUUGUCAAAGGGUUUCUUACAGAGUUUAUUGGCAUUCUGUCCACCUCCUGCUCUAUAUGGAUUUCUUUUUCUUUUAAUUUGAAGUAAAAGAUAAGAACUAGAUUAUAAAAAGAAGAAAAAAAGUGAUUUAUAUUGUCUGUUGUGGAGGAGGUGGGCAUACUGCCAACUGAGCUGUGUUGGAUUCUCUUUGCAAAACCCUCGUGAAACUUGCUUUUGCUUUCUCACCUCUUACUUAUUUGCAGCAGCUCAGAUCAAGGUAUAUGUAUAUGUACAUGUAUAUAUAUCAUAUAUGGGGAUCUUGUGCAUAUAUAUUGUUCAUUUUUAUUUCUCGAAACUCAUGUUUGAUUUCUUACAUGCACGAAUCUUAGGUUUUCUUACAUGCCAUGUUUAAUUCAGUUCCCUUAUACAGUUGUAUUUUGCUGUGUCUGAAGUUGUGGAUAUGUACUUUGGAACCCUAAUGGCUCCCACACCCCCCCCCUAAUCUUUUUGUUAAUUUAUAUCUGAAUUUGAUUAAAUCUGUUUGAAGAAAUCCUUCUUUUUCCUAAAUCUUUGUAAAUUAGUUAAAAGGUAAAAAGCCAGGAAAUAAUGAGAAAUUUGAGGCUUUCAAUCAAGAAAAGCAAGCCGCGGCAGAAUAUUUUACCAAGUAUUAUUUUCUUGUUCAUUGCCUUUUCUGGGGUUCAAGAUCUCAUUUUUCCUUGUUUCUUGAUUUGGGUUAUUUUGCAUAUGCAAUUUUUUUUUGUUAGUAAGAGAGAUAUAGAUACACAGUAAGAGAGAUGGUGGUGGUGGUAGGGCAAAAGAAUAAUAUUAUUAUGAAAGGGAAAAGAUAAACUUUUGUGGUUGCAGAGCAGAAGGGCGUUGGUAUAUACGUAGAGGCUCAUGAUUGAAACACUGACAUUUACAAUUAAUUUAUUAUUGCAAACACACUACUAUCUGUCUAUAUUCCAGCUUCACCACCCCCAUUUAAGUUUCUUGGGCUCCGUUGCUGUGAAUUUCACUGACAGUCAAAUCUUCUAAUUCAACCUCACUCCAUAUUAUUAUUACACUUCAGUUUUCCUUUUUAAUUAUUUGUUCAUUUUUUCUUUCUUUUAUAUUAUAUUUAACUUUAGAAUAUAUACAAAUGUUGUAUUACUUAUUUU